CAGGCUCCGAGCCCCGCCGGUCCCCUUGGAGCGGGCGGUGCUGCGGGGCGGGGCGGGCCGGGGCUGCCGGGGAUGCUCCGGUGCGGGGCGGGUCGGGUCCUCGCCGGGCUCCUCCCGCUGCCCUGGCUCCUCGGCCACGUCUGAAAGCGGCUCAUUGUGUCCGCAGCCAGCUCGGGUCCGCCGAGGGAAGCUCUUGUA
Molecule: long non-coding RNA, 198 nt
Filed under: Melopsittacus undulatus (budgerigar)
Lineage: Eukaryota; Metazoa; Chordata; Aves; Psittaciformes; Psittaculidae
Description: lncRNA (ENSMUNG00000018888.1)
Source: RNAcentral